RNAcentral lists this ribosomal RNA (422 nucleotides) under uncultured bacterium. RNAcentral's name for it is "bacterial SSU rRNA". It matches the Rfam family "Bacterial small subunit ribosomal RNA", at positions 355 to 774 of the family's 1533-position model. The record is from RNAcentral.
UAAGGAAUAUUGGACAAUGGAGGCAACUCUGAUCCAGCCAUGCCGCGUGAAGGAAUAAGGCCCUAUGGGUUGUAAACUUCUUUUAGACGGGACAAAACCCCUUUACGUGUAAAGGGUUGAUGGUACUGUCAGAAUAAGCAUCGGCUAACUUCGUGCCAGCAGCCGCGGUAAUACGAAGGAUGCAAGCGUUAUCCGGAAUUAUUGGGUUUAAAGGGCGCGUAGGCGGACUAAUAAGUCAGUGGUGAAAGCCUGCAGCUUAACUGCAGAAUUGCCAUUGGUACUGUUAGUCUUGAGUACAGUUGAGGUAGGCGGAAUGUGUCAUGUAGCGGUGAAAUGCUUAGAUAUGACACAGAACACCGAUUGCGAAGGCAGCUUGCUAAGCUGUAACUGACGCUGAGGCACGAAAGCGUGGGGAGCAAACA